UAUUAUAUUAAUUUCGUACAUUUAUUCAUCAUAGCUAUCGCUUGGAUCUAUAAUAAAAUUUAAGUUUAUUACGAUACUCUAAACGUUGUUCUAUGGAGUAUUUCUAAUUAUCAAUAUUAUAAUUGUCACGUCGUAAUUUUAUAGGUUAAUGGUAAAAACUUAUGUACAUAUAUCGUAUAAACGUCAUACAUUUUACAUACAUCGGUUUAUCGCGAAAUAUUUCAUGCUUCGUUACAAAAUAGGCGUUAUUCGCACGGAACAAUAAUUAUUACGUUUCAUAGCAGUGCGAUUUACGUUUCGUGCACGUUUCAAUAUAAUCUAGUAUAAGUUUUAUACAAACGAGGAUAAAUUAUUGUUUAUACGUGUAUAGAAUUACUAAUGAAGGGAAACUAUAUCUCACUAGGUAUGAUCUGAAUGAACCUACGAAUAUUAUAACUACGUGCUCUGGCCUGAUUAAACUUACCAGUUCGUAUCAAGCGGAACUUACCUGUUAUUACGUGAAAGAAUAUUACAUUACAUUGGGCGAAGAAGACUCCACUGUUAAAGUUCGCCGUCGAUAAAUUCGAGGAAAUACGGAAGUCAAAUACGUAAGUAUAGUUAGCACAGUAGUGGCUUAUGGUUCAAUGAAAAUCGAUUUCAUCAACCUCUCAACUUCCGUUUCGAUAAUAAACAGGAUCUUGGGUGAUAAGCUAUGUUUCUAGUAGAAACGGGAUAAAUAAGGAUUCUCGUCUACUGCAACCUGCGGCUUUUCUUCGUCAUCAAGUGCACAAUUUCUUCGACGAGAAGAGAAACGUCCUACAUCGAGCGACUUUUCGUCCGUAUAAAUUUUACGUUGAUUUGUCAUCAUUGGCGUGUGUCACAGCGUUGCAUAUGCAGCAAUAAAAAUAUCCUUUUGAAAAAAGUAACGUCACCAGCUUAAAAACUGACGCAACUCGAUCAGCGCUACUUUCAUAAAUCAAGUUGUUGAUUCAAUUGUAAACACGUGUAAUUCUAUUUAUUCAAGAUCUAUUUAUUCAAGAGUGUUUUGUAAGCUUUCCUUUAAUUUAGUUUUAAAAUGUACAAACUGGUCGUAUCCUCGGUCGUAGAAAAGUAUCUCGUAUGAAGAAUCGCUUCGUGUUGUUUCAUUCAGCUACAGUAAAUGUUUCGUAUAACGAACGUGGCGUUUCUUUUCGUCGACACGCCACUUUAAUUAGAAAGAUAUUGCGCACGCAUAACUUGUAUAUAUGUGUAUUGUCUUUCGUGCAAGGUUUCAUGCGAAAAAAGAGAAUAAAUUCUCGACAAAGCAAAAUGCGACAUAACAGCGCAAAUAAAAAAUUCGAAACUAUGCUAUGAAAGAAUUCAUGAAACCACGAGCAUUGGUCACAAGGGUGUAUUUUUCUUCUUAGACGAUGGUAACGGCGCGCGACCGUGCGCCAUCGUGCUAGAUCGACCGUGUAACUAAUACCAGUUUCUUUUCUUAUAAACUGCCGUACUAGCAAACGUUUUCAAGCAACUCCGUUAAACUACUAGAAUUUUUACAAUUUUUUUAUCUUCGUUUUUUAAUCGAUUUUUUUCCAAAGAUACGCGAGAAACGUUAGUAAAAUGAAUUACAUACGCGCAUUUUCAUCUUUAUCAUUUUCUUGUAGUUCACAGAUGGAAAUCAACUCAUCGUGGAUAGUAAUAGUAGCGUUACGUAUUAUCUUUCCAUACAAUCAAUAUGCAAAACUAUCUGGAUUUCUAUUUUACGCUCAAUAAAUCCAAUUUCGAAAAAAGGCCAAACACGAAUUAAAAAUACGAUCAGUCGAAUAUAUAUAUGUAAUAAUAUACAUAUAUAUAUAUAUAUAUACAAUGUGAUAAUACAAUGUAAAUUUUCGUUUUGAUUUAUAGGCAAAUUAUUAGUUGGAAAUAGGGUAGAUAAGAGCAAUUGAUUAAAACUGUUUCAAACGUUUAAAGAGUAUUAAUGCGAUAUCUCUGUUCUGUGAUUUGAUCGACAACAAAAGCAUCUGCUUGGACGCUUUUGCCUAUCUAUCUGCGAAACGAACAUAUUGUUCGUUUCACUUGAAAACAUUAUCUUUUCUCGAUAACAUAGAUUUUGAAAUAUAUUUUCUAUAUAGGGUGUCUGUUCAAUUUCAGUACACUGAAAUAUCUUUUAAGGAAUUGACGUUACGAAGAAUAUGUUGGUCAGUACGAAGAGAGACGUUAUGCAAUGCAAAUAUCUUUUUUGUAUCUGCUAUAGUCGGGAUGAAUUUCAAAGGCAAUUUAAUUUUUUCUUUAGAUGGAUCUAUGUAUUUUCUUACACACCAUUCGAUACAUUUUUUAAUUCCCAACGAUAAAGAAUUAUGAUAUCUCGGUCGAGAAACGAUUAGUUUCAGAGGUAUUUUAGCUUUAAUCUUGUAAAACUCAUCGUACGAAUGUAAAGGGAAUAUAAACGUCUUUCAAGAGUAAACGUUUUACAAGAGUAAAGAUAAAAUGUCUUUCAAAUUACUAAAUACUUCUCGACCCAAGUACCUUGAUACGUUUUUGCAGAUAGUUACAAAAUGCAUCGAAUGUAUGCAAGAAGAUGUAUAGGUCCGUUCAAAAAAAUUAAAUCGAUUUUGAAAUCUUCCACACUGUACGAAUUACAAAAGAAAUACUUACACCGCAUAACGUCUCCCUCGGUAACAAGCGAUUUUUGAUGAAACACUUUUUUCGUAGUACCAUUACCUUAAAAGAUAUUUCAGCGCAUUCAGAUAAAACAGACACCCGUACGUUUAGAGGCACAUCACUUUUCAUCUAAACGAAAACUGUUUCGAGAACAAAUACUUGUUUUAAUCAUAUCGUGGGUGGAAUAUUUUGAAAUUUGAACCUUCCCAUGAAUAUAAAUGAAUCGAAGGAAAUUAUGCCACGCACCUGUAACUUUCGAAACAUUUGUUACAACUUGAUAUUAGCUACGUUAAUCGUAUGCAAAUAGCCGCAAAAUGAUGCAUUACCGUCUUGUUCUUCUGGAGCAUCAACGAUUUCAUCGAACGAUCUUGCCGAUCGACGUUGCAAAAUUAUUCGAACACAAUUCCUUGUUGUUCGUUUAUUCGGUCGAACAAAUGCACGGAAUAAAAACCGAGAAUUGUAAUUUAGGAACGAUAAAGGAAAACACUUACAAAACGUCGUUUCUUCGUCGAAAGAAGUUAUUGUUGACGUCGAAGUUAACGAGAGCUGCGGUGCACAGAGCGGACGGUCGUAACGAAACUCCGUUGCUCGAUAUCCGAUACGCGAUCGCCAACCAGAAGAAUAUUCCUCGUUAUUCAGGUGCGAAUUUAUACAAAUUCAUAUAUUUGCGAACAUAAUUAAAGAAACGGGACUUUGAUAUAAUAAAUUACUGGAGCAAUGGAAAAUUAAUAUACACUGUCUACUCGUUAUCGUUACCAUGACUAGCCAACUGAUAUAUUUUUGUUCGUAGAUGGGUGAAUAUGCGAGAGGCUGCGGAAGGAA
Molecule: long non-coding RNA, 3444 nt
Organism: Bombus impatiens (common eastern bumble bee)
Lineage: Eukaryota; Metazoa; Arthropoda; Insecta; Hymenoptera; Apidae
Exons: 2
Source: RefSeq, a predicted model, not a curated record